ACCAACAGGGAUUGCCCUAGUAACGGCGAGUGAAGCGGCAACAGCUCAAAUUUGAAAUCUGGCUCUUUCAGAGUCCGAGUUGUAAUUUGCAGAGGGCGCUUUGGCUUUGGCAGCGGUCCAAGUUCCUUGGAACAGGACGUCACAGAGGGUGAGAAUCCCGUACGUGGUCGCUAGCUAUUGCCGUGUAAAGCCCCUUCGACGAGUCGAGUUGUUUGGGAAUGCAGCUCUAAAUGGGAGGUAAAUUUCUUCUAAAGCUAAAUAUUGGCCAGAGACCGAUAGCGCACAAGUAGAGUGAUCGAAAGAUGAAAAGCACUUUGGAAAGAGAGUCAAACAGCACGUGAAAUUGUUGAAAGGGAAGCGCUUGCAGCCAGACUUGCUUGCAGUUGCUCAUCCGGGCUUUUGCCCGGUGCACUCUUCUGUAGGCAGGCCAGCAUCAGUUUGGGCGGUGGGAUAAAGGUCUCUGUCACGUACCUCUCUUCGGGGAGGCCUUAUAGGGGAGACGACAUACCACCAGCCUAGACUGAGGUCCGCGCAUCUGCUAGGAUGCUGGCGUAAUGGCUGUAAGCGGCCCGUCUUGAAACACGGACCAAGGAGUCUAACAUCUAUGCGAGUGUUUGGGUGUCAAGCCCGAGCGCGUAAUGAAAGUGAACGGAGGUGGGAACCCGCAAGGGUGCACCAUCGACCGAUCCUGAAGUUUACGGAAGGAUUUGAGUAAGAGCAUGGCUGUUGGGACCCGAAAGAUGGUGAACUAUGCUUGAAUAGGGUGAAGCCAGAGGAAACUCUGGUGGAGGCUCGCAGCGGUUCUGACGUGCAAAUCGAUCGUCAAAUUUGGGCAUAGGGGCGAAAGACUAAUCGA
This 856-nucleotide ribosomal RNA is filed under the name Bipolaris sorokiniana. RNAcentral describes it as "eukaryotic LSU rRNA". It matches the Rfam family "Eukaryotic large subunit ribosomal RNA", at positions 64 to 938 of the family's 3401-position model. Lineage: Eukaryota; Fungi; Ascomycota; Dothideomycetes; Pleosporales; Pleosporaceae. The record is from RNAcentral.